AGUGCGAGGAAAUAAAUAAAGUAAAGCGAGUGCGAGGAAAUAAAUAAAGUAAAGCGAGUGUGAGGAAAUAAAUAAAAGUAAAGCGAGUGCGAGGAAAUAAAUAAAGUAAAGCGAGCGCGAGGAAAUAAAUAAAGUAAAGAGAGUGCGGAAAAAUAAAUAAGAUAAAGACAAGUAAUAAAAACCUGCUCCAAUCGGAGGGUUGAAUAAAUUGCAAAGCGGAAAU
Molecule: long non-coding RNA, 223 nt
Filed under: Lathyrus oleraceus (garden pea)
Lineage: Eukaryota; Viridiplantae; Streptophyta; Magnoliopsida; Fabales; Fabaceae
Description: Pisum sativum (pea) long non-coding RNA (PSAT_LNC039211)
Source: RNAcentral